UACGAAGGGGGCUAGCGUUGUUCGGAUUUACUGGGCGUAAAGCGUGCGCAGGCGGCUUUGCGAGACAGAUGUGAAAUCCCCGGGCUCAACCUGGGAACUGCAUUUGUGACUGCAAGGCUAGAGUACGGUAGAGGGGGAUGGAAUUCCGCGUGUAGCAGUGAAAUGCGUAGAUAUGCGGAGGAACACCGAUGGCGAAGGCAAUCCCCUGGACCUGUACUGACGCUCAUGCACGAAAGCGUGGGGAGCAAACAGG
Molecule: ribosomal RNA, 253 nt
Filed under: uncultured bacterium
Lineage: Bacteria
Description: partial 16S ribosomal RNA
Rfam family: Bacterial small subunit ribosomal RNA
Source: RNAcentral